RNAcentral lists this ribosomal RNA (627 nucleotides) under uncultured bacterium. RNAcentral describes it as "bacterial SSU rRNA". It matches the Rfam family "Bacterial small subunit ribosomal RNA", at positions 9 to 668 of the family's 1533-position model. The record is from RNAcentral.
GAGUUUGAUCCUGGCUCAGGAUGAACGCUGGCGGCGUGCCUAAGGCAUGCAAGUCGAACGGGUCCCAUCGCAAGGUGGGAUUAGUGGCAGACGGGUGAGUAACGCGUGGGAACGUACCUAGAAGUGGGGGACAACUCCCCGAAAGAGGAGCUAAUACCGCAUAUGAACGCAAGUUCAAAGCCGCAAGGCGCUUUUAGAUCGGCCUGCGUCCCAUCAGCUAGUUGGUAGGGUAAAGGCCUACCAAGGCUAUGACGGGUAGCUGGUGUGAGAGCAUGACCAGCCACAACUGCACUGAGACACGGGCAGUACAUCUACGGAUGGCAGCAACCGGGAAUAUUGGACAAUGGACGAAAGUCUGAUCCAGCGACGCCGCGUGAGGGAUGAAGGCCUUAGGGUCGUAAACCUCUUUUGUAUGGGAAGAAAAAAAUGACGGUACCAUACGAAUAAGGACCUGCAAACUACGUGCCAGCAGCCGCGGUAAUACGUAGGGUCCGAGCGUUAUCCGGAUUUAUUGGGCGUAAAGGGUUGCGUAGGCGGCGUAUCAAGUCCUACUUUAAAGCCCGAGGCUUAACCUCGGUUCUGGGUAAGAUACUGAUAUGCUAGAGGAAUACCGGGGGAGAUGGAAUU